RNAcentral lists this ribosomal RNA (465 nucleotides) under uncultured bacterium. RNAcentral's name for it is "partial 16S ribosomal RNA". It matches the Rfam family "Bacterial small subunit ribosomal RNA", at positions 355 to 837 of the family's 1533-position model. The record is from RNAcentral.
UGGGGAAUAUUGGACAAUGGGGGCAACCCUGAUCCAGCAAUGCCGCGUGUGUGAAGAAGGUCUUCGGAUUGUAAAGCACUUUCGACGGGGACGAUGAUGACGGUACCCGUAGAAGAAGCCCCGGCCAACUUCGUGCCAGCAGCCGCGGUAAUACGAAGGGGGCUAGCGUUGCUCGGAAUGACUGGGCGUAAAGGGCGUGUAGGCGGUUUACACAGUCAGAUGUGAAAUCCCCGGGCUUAACCUGGGAGCUGCAUUUGAUACGUGUAGACUAGAGUGUGAGAGAGGGUUGUGGAAUUCCCAGUGUAGAGGUGAAAUUCGUAGAUAUUGGGAAGAACACCGGUGGCGAAGGCGGCAACCUGGCUCAUGACUGACGCUGAGGCGCGAAAGCGUGGGGAGCAAACAGGAUUAGAUACCCUGGUAGUCCACGCUGUAAACGAUGUGUGCUAGAUGUUGGGUAACUUUGUU